RNAcentral lists this long non-coding RNA (376 nucleotides) under Olea europaea subsp. europaea. Lineage: Eukaryota; Viridiplantae; Streptophyta; Magnoliopsida; Lamiales; Oleaceae. The record is from RNAcentral.
GUCAAUAUUUCGGACGCUCCCUUAGGAAAUAUAGCAAAUUUGAAUGAGUUUUAAUUGACAAGUUACUAUAUUGUAGUCCUAUAAAAAGGAAGUCAGGAUUUCUUGAACCUGACACAGUCCAAUAAAUUAUAAAUUUCCAUUCCCCCAAAAUUGAAUUUUCAUCCAAUCAUUUCCCGUUUCAGUUCCAACUUCAUUGUGUUGACUCCUCUAUAGCUAACUAAUUUUCCUAAAUUUCCAUUCUACACCAUAUUGAAAGGGACGUCAACAAGGGUUAUCGAAAUCAAGAAAUACAUAUUUUCAAUCUUUUUUUUUUUUUUUGUUAAUUUUGAGGUUAGCCUUCUUUUAAGUAUUUAUCGUAUUUUAGACAUUAUAAUUG